This 83-nucleotide microRNA precursor is filed under the name Nomascus leucogenys (northern white-cheeked gibbon). RNAcentral describes it as "miRNA (ENSNLEG00000032353.1)". The record is from RNAcentral. Lineage: Eukaryota; Metazoa; Chordata; Mammalia; Primates; Hylobatidae.
UUAGGUUGAUGCAAAAGUAAUUGUGGUUUUUGCCAUUGAAAGUAAUAGCAAAAACCACAAUUAUUUUUGCACCAACCUAAUAA